RNAcentral lists this transfer RNA (72 nucleotides) under Camelus bactrianus (Bactrian camel). It matches the Rfam family "tRNA". Rfam says of the family: Transfer RNA (tRNA) molecules are approximately 80 nucleotides in length. Their secondary structure includes four short double-helical elements and three loops (D, anti-codon, and T loops). Lineage: Eukaryota; Metazoa; Chordata; Mammalia; Artiodactyla; Camelidae. RNAcentral also lists the same sequence under 2 other names. The record is from Rfam by way of RNAcentral.
GAGGGUAUAGCACAGUGGUAGUGUGUGUGCUUAGCAUGCUCAAGGUCCUAGGUUCAACCUCUAGUACUCCCA